Molecule: transfer RNA, 93 nt
Filed under: Acidimicrobiales bacterium
Lineage: Bacteria; Bacillati; Actinomycetota; Acidimicrobiia; Acidimicrobiales
Also listed under: 1 other name
Description: tRNA-Sec
Rfam family: Selenocysteine transfer RNA
Source: RNAcentral
GGAGGUGUCCGGGCGCCUGGUGGGCCCCACCGCCUUCAAAGCGGCUGAUCGUGGUAUCCCCACGAUGGCGGGUUCGAUUCCCGUCCACCUCCG